RNAcentral lists this ribosomal RNA (494 nucleotides) under uncultured bacterium. Its description in RNAcentral is "partial 16S ribosomal RNA". It matches the Rfam family "Bacterial small subunit ribosomal RNA", at positions 28 to 507 of the family's 1533-position model. The record is from RNAcentral.
GACGAACGCUGGCGGCGUGCUUAACACAUGCAAGUCGAACGGAAAGGCCUGCUUUCCCUUGUGGAUUGCGGGUACUCGAGUGGCGAACGGGUGAGUAACACGUGAGUGAUCUGCCCCCAACUUGGGUAUAAGCCUGGGAAACUGGGUCUAAUUCCCGAUAGGACUGCAGGGUGGUGCCUGUGGUGGAAAACGAUUUUCUAGUGGUUGGGGAUGAGCUCGCGGCCUAUCAGCUUGUUGGUGGGGUAAUGGCCUACCAAGGCGGCGACGGGUAGCCGGCCUGAGAGGGUGGACGGCCACAUUGGGACUGGGAUACGGCCCAGACGCCUACGGGAGGCAGCAGUGGGGAAUAAUGCACAAUGGGCGGAAGCCUGAUGCAGCGACGCCGCGUGGGGGAUGACGGCCUUCGGGUUGUAAACUCCUUUCGACCGCGAGGAAGCCACCUGGUUGGAAGGGUGGUGACGGUAGUGGUAGAAGAAGCACCGGCUAACUACGUG